GUGGAGAAGCUACUAAGGGCUUUCGGUGAAUGCCUUGGCGCCAAAUGCCGAUGAAGGACGUGGGACACUGCGAUAAGCCUCGGGGAGCCGUGUACAGGCUUUGAUCCGGGGAUCUCCGAAUGAGGAAACUCGUUGCGGCGAACCCGCAACAUCCCCAACUGAACACAUAGGUUGGUGGAGGGGUACCCAGGGAACUGAAACAUCUAAGUACCUGGAGGAAAAGAAAACAUUCCCCCAGUAGUGGCGAGCGAACGGGGAACAGCCCAAACCGCCCCUGCUUGCAGGGACGGGGUUGUAGGGUCUGGCAUAUGGAAGUUACAAAACAAUCAGUUAGCGGAAAGGUGUGGGAAAGCCUGCCAUAGAGGGUGAUAGCCCCGUAUGCGAAAACUGAUUGUCUUCCGCCAGAUACCUGAGUACUGCCGGGCACGCUAAUCCGGCAGGAAUCUGGGAAGUCCACUUUCCAAGGCUAAAUACAUUUGGCGACCGAUAGUGAACAAGUACCGUGAGGGAAAGGUGAAAAGUCCCCCUGUUAGGGGAGUGAAAUAGAACCUGAAACCGAGAGCCUACAAACAGUUGGAGGGCUAACAGUGGGUUGAGCGCUGCAGAAAUGCAGAUGUUCCCCGCUAUGCCUGACAGCGUGCCUCUUGGAGAAUGAGCCUGCGAGUUAAUCUCAGUGGCAAGGUUAAGGGAGUAACACCCGUAGCCGUAGCGAAAGCGAGUCUGAAUAGGGCGUAUAGUCGCUGGGAUUAGGCCCGAAACCGGGUGAGCUACCCAUGGGCAGGGUGAAGCGAGUCUAAUCACUCGUGGAGGCCCGAACUUACUAACGUUGCAAAGUUAGAAGAUGACCUGUGGGUAGAGGUGAUAUGCCAAACGAACUCGGAGAUAGCUGGUUCUACCCGAAAUAGCUUUAGAGCUAGCGUCAUGCGUUUAGUACUGGAGGUACAGCACUGAAUGGGCUAAGGGGCUUACCGCUUACUGAACCCAAUCAAACUCGGAAUGCCAGUACUCCAUAGCAUGGCAGUCGGACUACGGGAGAUGAGUUUCGUGGUCGAAAGGGAAACAGCCCAGAUCAUCAGCUAAGGUCCUUAAAUCUACGCUAAGUGGGAAACGAGGUGAGGUUACUUGAACAACCAGGAGGUUGGCUUAGAAGCAGCCACCCUUUAAAAAGUGCGUAACAGCUUACUGGUCUAGUGACCUUGCGCGGAAAACUUAACGGGGCUAAGCGUAGUACCGAAGCUAUGAGUCUCAACGCAAGUUGGGGCAGUAGGGGAGCGUUCCAUCAGCGGUGAAGGUCGAUCGAAAGGGCGACUGGAGCGGAUGGAAGUGAGAAUGCAGGCAUGAGUAGCGUAUAAACACGUGAGAACCGUGUUCGCCGUAAAUCUAAGGUUUCCGACGCCAGGUCAUUCCGCGUCGGGUUAGUCGGGUCCUUAGCCGAGGCUGAAAAGCGUAGGUGAUGGACAUCCGGUCAAUAUUCCGGAACCACUCAGAAGGAGUGAUGGGGGGACGCAGCGAGAUAGGCCAGCCACCGAUUGGUUGUGGUGGUGCGAUCUGCUGAGACGUUGAGGCUGGUAGGUAAAUCCGCCGGCUGAGUCGAGGCAAGAGCGAGCCGCAAGGCAUAAGUGGUCGAGUUUUGCUGCCGAGAAAAGCCCCUAAACGUUGAUUUCUGAGUGCCCGUACCGCAAUCCGACACUGGUAGAUGGGUAGAGUAUACCAAGGCGAACGGGAGAACCCUCGUUAAGGAACUAGGCAACAUGACCCCGUAACUUCGGGAGAAGGGGUGCCUUCUAGCGUUCGGGUAACCAAAGCGCUGGAGGGUCGCAGUGAAAUGGCUCUGGCGACUGUUUAACAAAAACACAGGUCUCUGCUAAGCCGUAAGGCGAUGUAUAGGGGCUGACGCGUGCCCAGUGCCGGAAGGUUAAGGGGAGAGGUUAGCGCAAGCGAAGCUUUGAACCGAAGCCCCGGUGAACGGCGGCCGUAACUAUAACGGUCCUAAGGUAGCGAAAUUCCUUGUCGGGUAAGUUCCGACCCGCACGAACCGCGUAACGAUCAGAGCACUGUCUCAACGAGGGACCCGGUGAAGUUGAAAUGGCUGUGAAGAUGCGGCCUACCCGCAGCAGGACAAAAAGACCCCGUGGAGCUUUACUGCAACUUGGCAUUGUGUUUGGGUAUGAUCUGUGUAGAAUAGGUGGGAGGCUUUGAAGCUGGGGCGUCAGCCUCGGUGGAGCCGCCAGUGAAAUACCACCCUGAUUAUGCUUAGACCCUAACCCCGCGCCGUCAUCCGGGCGGGGGACCGUGCCAGGUGGGCAGUUUGACUGGGGCGGUCGCCUCCUAAAUCGUAACGGAGGCUUACAAAGGUUACCUCAGCACGGUUGGUAAUCGUGCUUAGAGCGCAAGGGCAUAAGGUAGCUUAACUGCGAGACAUACAGGUCGAGCAGAGGGUGAAUGGAAACCACCCAUAGAGUGCAAAGGCAUAAGGGAGCUUGACUGCAAGACCAACGCGUCGAGCAGAGUCGAAAGACGGGCUUAGUGAUCCCACGGUACUGAGUGGAAGGGCCGUGGCUUACCGGAUAAAAGCUACCCCGGGGAUAACAGGCUGGUGAGGUCCAAGAGUUCACAUCGACGACCUCGCUCGGCACCUCGAUGUCGGCUCAUCGCAUCCUGGGGCUGGAUAAGGUCCCAAGGGUCGGGCUGUUCGCCCGUUAAAGCGGUACGCGAGCUGGGUUCAGACCGUCGUGAGACAGGUCGGUCUCUAUCCGCUGUGGGCGUAAGGGAUUUGAGAGGAGCUGCUCCUAGUACGAGAGGACCGGAGUGGACCGACCUCUGGUGUGCCAGUUGUCGCGCCAGCGGCAUUGCUGGGUAGCUACGUCGGGCAGAGAUAACCGCUGAAAGCAUCUAAGUGGGAAACUCGCCUCAAGAUUAGAUCCCUGUAUUCCAGUUAAUGGAGUAAGACCGCAGGUAGACCACCUGCUAUAUAGGCAACAAGUGUAAGCGCGUAUAUCUAAAGGCGUUUAGCUAAGUUGUACUAAUGGUCGAGGGCUGAAUCCUC
RNAcentral lists this ribosomal RNA (3046 nucleotides) under Chloroflexota bacterium. RNAcentral's name for it is "Chloroflexi bacterium (groundwater metagenome) 23S ribosomal RNA". It matches the Rfam family "Bacterial large subunit ribosomal RNA". The record is from RNAcentral. Lineage: Bacteria; Bacillati; Chloroflexota.